UAGCGUAAUCACUUGUUCUUUAAUUGAGGACUAGUAUGAACGGCCCCACGAGGACUACACUGUCUCCUUUUUCUAAUCAAUGAAACUGAUCUCCUCGUGAAGAAGCGAGAAUAAAUAUAUAAGACGAGAAGACCCUAUGGAGCUUUAAACAACCGGGAUACUUGCUAAUUAUUAACCUAUUUCCUGAAAACUAAACAAAUUAAAGCAUCUUACCCCCUAGUUUUAGGUUGGGGUGACCACGGAGAAAAAAUUAUCCUCCACGCUGUAAGAAGCCUCCCAUCUUCUAAGCUAAGAGUUACAUCUCUAAGCAUCAACACAUUGACUCCCAUUGACCCAAUAAUUUGAUCAACGAACCAAGUUACCCUAGGGAUAACAGCGCAAUCUACUUUAAGAGCUCAUAUCGACAAGUAGGUUUACGACCUCGAUGUU
RNAcentral lists this ribosomal RNA (429 nucleotides) under Ranitomeya reticulata (redback poison frog). RNAcentral describes it as "partial 16S ribosomal RNA". It matches the Rfam family "Bacterial large subunit ribosomal RNA", at positions 1957 to 2533 of the family's 2925-position model. The record is from RNAcentral. Lineage: Eukaryota; Metazoa; Chordata; Amphibia; Anura; Dendrobatidae.